This is a long non-coding RNA of Oncorhynchus tshawytscha (Chinook salmon), 1947 nucleotides long. Lineage: Eukaryota; Metazoa; Chordata; Actinopteri; Salmoniformes; Salmonidae. The record is from Ensembl.
GUCAAAACACCAUAGAACAAACACAAUACCGUAUGUAGCAUUACAUUCUGAUAGGUCAAAACACCACUCCAAACCAUAGACAGUGUUUGUAGCAUUACAUUCUGAUAGGUCAAAACACCAUAGAACAAACACAAUACUGUAUGUAGCACACAGGCAUUUUCAGAGGGACAUUUUGCAUGCAGAACACCAUACUCCAAACCACAAAGGGAUCCGGCAACUGGAGAGAUUAGCCUAUGUACCGCACAGUCAUAUUCAGAUCAUACCUUACUGCUUUCAACAUACAGUUCAUGGGUUCUGUCUCUCUCUCUCUUUCUCUCGCUCUCUCUCUGUCUCUGUCUCUCUCUCUCUCUCUCUCUGUCUGUCUCUCUCUGUCUCUCUCUCUCAAUCUCUGUCUCUCUCUCUCUCAAUCUCUGUCUCUCUCUCAAUCUCUGUCUCUCUCUCAAUCUCUCUCUCUCAAUCUCUCUCUCAAUCUCUCUCACUCUCUCUCAAUCUCUCUCUGUCUCUCUCUCAUUCUCUCUCUCUUUCUGUCUCUCUCUCGCUCGCUCUCUCUCUCUCUCUCUCUCUCUCUCUCUCUCUGUCUGUCUCUCACACCUCACCUGGCACCAGAUAAUUUAGAAUGAUUAUACUGCAGGAUUAAAUCUUGGCUGUGACAGUCAAGAAGAACAACACAAGCCAUCAUGGUGAUGAAAGCAUGGUGUACAUUAUUCUGAGGGUACGUCCCUAUAAUACAUUACCCCCCCCCCCUGAAGUGUACUGUUCCCUCAAAUAUAAAAGCCUUGACUAGCUGAUCAUAACAGAUUAAGUGAUCAUAGUGUUAGGCCUUGUAGUGUUUUUUGUUGUUGUCUAUACUAGCUGAUCAUAGUGAGAUACACCUGCAUUAGCUCCUCCCCCCCAAGCUAAUGCCUAGACUUUAUCUCAGCUGGCUAACACAGAUUCCUGGAGACCCGGAUUGGAACCUACAUGCAGACAGGCGAUCUUUAAAAACCUUUAAAGACCUGUAUAGAUCUUUAUAGCCCUUUUUAGCCAGACUUCAUAGACACAGCGUGCAGAGUAAGUUAGUUAGGAAGAUAUGUUAAGGCAGCGUUUCCCAAACUAGGUCCCUGGGGAACCCAAGGAGUGCACGUUUUUUUUUUUUUCUCCUCUACAAUUACACAGCUGAUUCAAUUCAUCACAGCUUGAUGAUGAGUUGAUUACUUUUUUAAUCAGCUAUGUAGUGCUAGGGCAAAAAAAAAAAAAAAUGGGGUCCCCAGGUCCGAGUUUUGGAAAUCCUUGGUCAAGGAAAACAGACUUUCUACACACCAGAUAUACAGAGCAUUCCUGGAAAGUAUUCAGACCCCUUCCCUUCUUUCCACAUUGUGUUACGUUACAGCCUUAUUCUACAAUGGAUGAAAUAAAACACAUUCCUCAUCAAUCUACACACAAUAUCCCUAUAAUGACAUCACAAUACCCCUAUAAUGACAUCACAAUAUCCCUAUAAUGACAUCACAAUACCCCUAUAAUGACAUCACAAUACCCCUAUAAUGACGAAGCGAAAAUAUAUAUAUAUUUCUGUUAUAUUUGGAAAUGUAUAAAAAAAAAAUUGAAUGCAUCCCAAUUGGCACCCUAGUCCCUACAUGCGGGGACUGCAAUUAUUAUUAUUAUUAUUAUUUUUAAAUGUAACCUUCAUUUAACAACACAAGUCAGUUUUAAGAACAAAAAUUCUUGCAAUAGGAUGUCGUUUGGGACACUGUCAUUGUCUAUGACCCAGUGCCUGCCCAGUGUAUAUAUAAACACAUGUAAUAAUCAGCCCCUGUUAUUGGUCAGUUACACCACAGAUGUACAGGUUUUUAUCUAUUUGUCACUUGUUGUGGUUAAUAAUAUUGUAUUGUUUCUGAAUGCAGCAUUGUGGGAGUUUUUGAACUAUGAGAAAUGAAAAGCACUUACUGAAAUGAAAUGAAAAUAAAGUUA